RNAcentral lists this ribosomal RNA (510 nucleotides) under uncultured bacterium. Its description in RNAcentral is "partial 16S ribosomal RNA". It matches the Rfam family "Bacterial small subunit ribosomal RNA", at positions 28 to 507 of the family's 1533-position model. The record is from RNAcentral.
GACGAACGCUGGCGGCGUGCUUAACACAUGCAAGUCGAACGAAGAGCGACGGAAGCUUGCUUCUAUCAAUCUUAGUGGCGAACGGGUGAGUAACGCGUAAUCCACCUGCCCUUGAGAGGGGGACAACAGUGGGAAACGACUGCUAAUACCGCAUACGAUCGAACCUCGGGAUCGAGGAGAGAUGAAAGGUGGCCUCGACAUGUAAGCUAUCACUCAAGGAGGGGAGUGCGUCUGAUUAGCUAGCUGUCGGGGUAACGGCCCAUCAAGGGGAGGAUCAGUAGCCGGUCUGCGAGGGUGCACGGCCCCAUUGGGGAUGGGACACCGCCCCGACUCCUCCGGGGGGCAGCAGUGGGGAAUCUUCCGCGAUGGGGGGAAGUCUGACGGAGCAACGCCGCGUGAGUGAUGACGGCCUUCGGGUUGUAAAGCUCUGUUAAUCGGGACGAAAGGCCUUCUUGCGAAUAGUGAGAAGGAUUGACGGUACCGGAAUAGAAAGCCACGGCUAACUACGUG